Molecule: ribosomal RNA, 420 nt
Filed under: bacterium
Lineage: Bacteria
Description: partial 16S ribosomal RNA
Rfam family: Bacterial small subunit ribosomal RNA
Source: RNAcentral
UGGGGGAUAUUGCACAAUGGGCGAAAGCCUGAUGCAGCGACGCCGCGUGGGGGAUGAAGGCUUUCGGGUUGUAAACCUCUUUCGCUAUCGAACAAGGCCCGCUUAGGGUGGGUUGAGGGUAGGUGGAGAAGAAGCGCCGGCUAACUACGUGCCAGCAGCCGCGGUAAUACGUAGGGCGCGAGCGUUGUCCGGAAUUAUUGGGCGUAAAGGGCUUGUAGGCGGCUUGUUGCGCCUGCUGUGAAAACGCGGGGCUUAACUUCGCGCGUGCAGUGGGUACGGGCAGGCUUGAGUGUGGUAGGGGUGACUGGAAUUCCAGGUGUAGCGGUGGAAUGCGCAGAUAUCUGGAGGAACACCGAUGGCGAAGGCAGGUCACUGGGCCAUUACUGACGCUGAGGAGCGAAAGCAUGGGUAGCUAACAGG